GGCUAACAGUAAAUUGAAUUGAUGUUUAUUAAGGGAAUGUAUACAAGGAGAUAAUGCCACUAAACCAUAUAUAUCAGAGGGUAUUGAAGAGGCCAAUCCUCUUGUAAACAGCAAUGAAUUUUUAGCAACAACCCAGGUCCAUUCCUUUUAAAAGAAAGACCUAACCCUCACUUGUAAACUCAUUUUGUACUUUUCUAUUCUAUUAAAUGACCAAUAAAAUAUAACAAUAACGAAAUGCAGAUAAUGAACUGAAAAAAUGGGGAUAUUUUUUUAUUAAUCAAAUAAAAUUUGGGAGAGGAAAGAAACAGUAAUAUUAAUAACAACGUAUUUAUCCUUGUUUCACUAACCCUCCCACCAUAAGUACCCACCACCCAUGCUAUCUCCUUCCAGCCUUCAAAUUCUUUCUGUAUAUAUCACAUAUAUACACGUACAAGAUCCUCUUCUACCAGCCUGCCAAUCUCUCUCUCAAACAACUAGGGAACCUCCCUAAUCAAUUGUACA
This 501-nucleotide unclassified non-coding RNA is filed under the name Hevea brasiliensis (rubber tree). The record is from RNAcentral. Lineage: Eukaryota; Viridiplantae; Streptophyta; Magnoliopsida; Malpighiales; Euphorbiaceae.